UUUUACUGUUGUCCCUCCUUGUUGAUUUUUUUCCCCUGCAGCCCUUUUAGUACCUUUAUUACUUUUGCGUUCUUCAGUUUCUUUUGCAGGAGCCUGCUCUAUGUAACGUCAUUCAGUAGCAUCAGAGAUGGACAAGCGGAGGCAAGGGAAGGAGGGGGGUGUGAAACUUGAGCUGGUGGAUGGGAGGGGGGAGUGAGAUUUGAGCUGGUGGAUGAGAGGAGGGAGCGAGAUUUGAAUGGUGGAUGGGAGGAGGGAACGAGACUUGCAAAUGCGAUGGUGGAUGGGAGGGGGAGCGAGCGGAGAGGAAUCCUGUGACGGGAGCGACACUAGGGAGGCAGCUGCACGAGAUGUGAGACAAGCCAAUACGUGGGAGGGACUGGAACAGGCGGAGCGUGUUUCGUGUGUGGGAAAUAGUGCUGCCUUUUGAAAAAUUGAAACCUACUGUGGCCAACAAAACACAUGGAACCCAAGAGACUUUGAUUGAAUCACAAUACACCAGCUUGGAUCUAUGAAUUGGACUUUGUAUGGUUUGAUGGACAUUCCACAAGGGGUUAAUAUUG
Long non-coding RNA from Xenopus laevis (African clawed frog), 560 nucleotides. RefSeq lists it as uncharacterized. The record is from RefSeq and is a predicted model, not a curated record. The transcript is spliced from 3 exons. NCBI's taxonomy places the organism in Eukaryota, Metazoa, Chordata, Amphibia, Anura, Pipidae.